Megalobrama amblycephala (Wuchang bream) is the source of this 637-nucleotide long non-coding RNA. RefSeq lists it as uncharacterized. The transcript has 3 exons. NCBI's taxonomy places the organism in Eukaryota, Metazoa, Chordata, Actinopteri, Cypriniformes, Xenocyprididae. The record is from RefSeq and is a predicted model, not a curated record.
UUUUGGCAUACUAUUUUCAACAUACUAUUCUUUGGGACACACUUAUUUUAAUCUCACGUAGCCUAUUUUUAGGAUGGACAGUAUUGGACAUUGGGACACAGGGUUACUCUCGGUUUUGUUGGAGGUGAACAGAACAUGGCGAAGAGUGGAGCAGGCAGAAAGAGUCCAGAUUUUGAUCGCCCCUACAUGGGUAAAGAUUCAGAUCAGCCCAAACGUAAGUCCAUCUGACAGAAAAGUGUGUUAUAUAUAUCACAGUUUGGAGCCCUGAUUCUGUGUUAAUAAUCUCUCAUUUGUGUCAGGAAUGGUGCCAGUUUAUAAUUAAAUUUGAUUUCCAUGGUAAUUGGUUAAAUAGUUUAUUUCUGUGACACUGCGGUGAUGACAGUCUUUUGGGGAAUAGGAAGUUGUUUUUCUGCAGUGAACUGUUAUCUGAAUUGAACUCAUUGUGCUGUCCUGUGGACUCUGACAGAGUUCGCUCUACAUUAAAAAUGUGCAGACUGUUAUUAAAUUACACAAUCAUAGGAUCCAGUUGAUUAAGCAACAGUGGAGGCAAAACAAGAGAGAAAUUUCAAAAAGGAGAAUUAAAAUUAAAAAAGGAAGGAAAGUAAAGUAUGUGCAGGAGAUUAGUGCCAUACUUUUG